CGAAUUGAGGCGACCCUAUCCUCCUCCCAAGGGUUGUCUUGUGAACAAUGGCACUCCUCCUCCCAGCCGUUGUUCGAGUUUUUGAAAAGCCUGCCGCACCUCCUCCCGCGGCGGGCUUUUUCG
Molecule: non-coding RNA, 123 nt
Organism: Agrobacterium tumefaciens F2
Lineage: Bacteria; Pseudomonadati; Pseudomonadota; Alphaproteobacteria; Hyphomicrobiales; Rhizobiaceae
Source: Rfam